This 76-nucleotide transfer RNA is filed under the name Fidelibacterota bacterium. Its description in RNAcentral is "tRNA-Ile". It matches the Rfam family "tRNA". From Rfam's summary of the family: Transfer RNA (tRNA) molecules are approximately 80 nucleotides in length. Lineage: Bacteria; Pseudomonadati; Fidelibacterota. The record is from RNAcentral.
ACAGCUGUAGCUCAGUUGGCAGAGCGCUCCCCUGAUAAGGGAGAGGCCACUGGUUCGAUGCCAGUCAGCUGUACCA